This 88-nucleotide ribosomal RNA is filed under the name Bauhinia tomentosa (yellow bauhinia). Its description in RNAcentral is "partial 5.8S ribosomal RNA". It matches the Rfam family "5.8S ribosomal RNA", at positions 23 to 109 of the family's 154-position model. Rfam says of the family: 5.8S ribosomal RNA (5.8S rRNA) is a component of the large subunit of the eukaryotic ribosome. It is transcribed by RNA polymerase I as part of the 45S precursor that also contains 18S and 28S rRNA. Lineage: Eukaryota; Viridiplantae; Streptophyta; Magnoliopsida; Fabales; Fabaceae. The record is from RNAcentral.
CGGCUCUCGCAUCGAUGAAGAACGUAGCGAACUGCGAUACUUGGUGUGAAUUGCAGAAUCCCGUGAACCAUCGAGUCUUUGAACGCAA